GCCUGGCUAGCUCAGUUGUUAGAGCAUGUGACUCUUGAUCCCAGGAUCAUGAAUUCAAGCCCCAUGUUGGGUG
Molecule: transfer RNA, 73 nt
Filed under: Felis catus (domestic cat)
Lineage: Eukaryota; Metazoa; Chordata; Mammalia; Carnivora; Felidae
Also listed under: 4 other names
Rfam family: tRNA
About the family: Transfer RNA (tRNA) molecules are approximately 80 nucleotides in length. Their secondary structure includes four short double-helical elements and three loops (D, anti-codon, and T loops).
Source: Rfam by way of RNAcentral